This 72-nucleotide transfer RNA is filed under the name Candidatus Kerfeldbacteria bacterium RIFOXYA2_FULL_38_24. RNAcentral's name for it is "tRNA-Arg". It matches the Rfam family "tRNA". From Rfam's summary of the family: Transfer RNA (tRNA) molecules are approximately 80 nucleotides in length. Their secondary structure includes four short double-helical elements and three loops (D, anti-codon, and T loops). RNAcentral also lists the same sequence under 2 other names. The record is from RNAcentral. Lineage: Bacteria; Candidatus Kerfeldiibacteriota.
GCCACUGUAGUUCAACGGAUAGAACAAGGCACUCCUAACGCCUAGACAGAGGUUCGACUCCUCUCAGGGGCA